CCCACAUUUAGCACGGUCCUGGUCCAGAGGUGCUGAGUACCAUCUGUGUGGCCCAUGACACAGGAAAUGCAACUAAGUGGAUGGUGAGCAGCCAUGAACCUCGAGUUGGUCUGAACCUGCAGAGUCCUGGUUCCUUAUCAUCCUUAGGAGGCCAAGGAGGCUGGACUGCCUUCUGCUGAGGUGCAUGCCGGGAAUAUCCAUCUAAUGUAUGAGGGAAAGAGCCAAGUUAGAGUGAGCCGCAGGGAUUCCAGGACCAAGUCUCAGAGUGAGCUGCAUGGGCAACUGGAAGCCAGUCUCCGGCAUCAUGGCAGUCCCAAGGAGAGACUAAGUCCAGCUCGUGUGCCCGCUCAGGAGCAGCCAGCAGUAGACGAGACUCCCUUGUGACAUCCGUGUCCCACGGUUUUGUGUACAGGAUCCUGGUGGGAGCCUGAAGAAGCCACCGAACCACCGAGCUGAGAGGAGCUGGCACAGCCAGAAUGUAGCCCACAAUGCUUUGAUGGGGGUUCAGGUGGGGGGAAGGAGGGGUUACAAAUCCCUCCUCUCCAGAAAUAUCUCAGGUAAAGGUUAAGAGUCAAGGUUUCCAUCCAUUUGGCAAGAAGGGGAAACGCACACGGGCCAGAAACAGCUGUGUCUCAUCUGCCAGGGCAGCCCAGAGGCAGAAGCCGAGGCAGUUCUCAAACCUGCGAAAGCAAAACACAACUGUCUUCUAUGAGAGAAGAACCCUCGCUACCUCUACGACACUAGUGUGUUCUCUUACAAACACAGGAGCAUUUGUCUCUAAUGCUAGUUUUUAAUACUAUCACUUAUGUAUGAUAUGAAGUACUAUCACAGGAUAAAUAAUGAUUUAUAGCCGA
This is a long non-coding RNA of Mastomys coucha (southern multimammate mouse), 854 nucleotides long. RefSeq lists it as uncharacterized. The record is from RefSeq and is a predicted model, not a curated record. NCBI's taxonomy places the organism in Eukaryota, Metazoa, Chordata, Mammalia, Rodentia, Muridae. The transcript has 3 exons.